CUUGACGAACAUAGAGCGUUGGAACCACCUGAUCCCAUCCCGAACUCAGCAGUGAAACGAUGCAUCGCCGAUGGUAGUGUGGAGCUUCUCCAUGUGAGAGUAGGUCAUCGUCAAGA
Molecule: ribosomal RNA, 116 nt
Filed under: Pseudomonas wadenswilerensis
Lineage: Bacteria; Pseudomonadati; Pseudomonadota; Gammaproteobacteria; Pseudomonadales; Pseudomonadaceae
Also listed under: 2 other names
Source: RNAcentral